GCCACCGCACCCCCCCUAUAAUCUAUUCAGUUUUAUGAAAAGAGUGCGAAAAGCGAAAAUUGUGCCAAACAAAGAAAGGAGGGGGGGGAAGCUGUAUUGUUUCAUACACAAAAACUAAUCAGUGACGUUGUCACUAAGUGGUUGACUUGAAAACGCGUGAGCGGCAAAUAUUUGUAAAGUGAAAAAAUGAAAGAGAAAAGGCCCGGCAUGAAAGGGUUAAAGACAUCACCAGCGCACGUGAUGCGAUUUUUCUGCGUCGGUAGAGCGAUGGGAUCGUGUGACGUCACUACGCCGCGCCGCCUGCCAGAAUAAGGAUGGCGUCCAGCGUGUGGAAGGGAAGGUGUUGUGUAGUUGUGGGGCUCCUCGCGCUAGGGCACGCGGCUUUAUUAGCGGCGCCACGUGAGUACGACAGAAACGCGCGGUAAAACACAGUAAAUGUGGUUUGAGGGGGAAACAAAAUCGGAAACGGACUGUUGUGAAGAGCUGUUCACGUCACGCUGUCGUCGAGAUUAGUUACUAAUCUUAGGACGUCGUUAUGAUUCGAUCGAUGUAAACGUCGCUGUUUCACCACAGCAGCACGGACACACAUUGCAGUAAAUGCGCUGGAAAACAUCGCCUCGACCGUCCUUUCCUUUGAACAGACCUUCCGUUACAAUCUGACCUCUGACCUCACGCUGCCCCGGGUUUGGCGAUGAGCACCGACCGCCUCAGACCUCCUGCAGCUCCUCUCUUUUCAGAUCGACGAUGCUACGUGAGCCUCGCAGGAGGAGAAUGAGACACUGACUGCCUAUAGUGAGGUUGUUCCGCAGGCUUUAUUCGCAUUUUUGGUAACCUCUUAGGGCACGGUCCGCAUCGCAGGAGAAUUUAAGAACGCGGAUGCUUCCUCAGAGCUCAGAAACAAAGCUUUUGACACGUUGAGAAAUCGCCCAUCCUUCUCCAUGUUCAAUCACAGGGGUGGGGUGCUGUUCCGGCCACUGGAGCAGGAGGCAUCGCAGAGCUCCGCCCCCCAGGCACUACCCUCAAAUCCACUCUGGCUACGCAAGCUGGAUGCCCAGUUUUUAGACUGGACUGCUGUUUGGAAGAGGAGAGGGAAGCUGGGACAAACCUGCACUUUCCUGUCGUCUCCCUUUACAGACGUGCUUUGGCAAUUCGGAAUCGCAUUUCAUGGUUGCAAAUGUUACUUCAGCUCGUGAUUUGGCUAGUAAAUAAACAUUUGGGUGUAGUUCUGACCUCCUGACGAUUCCGUGUUCCCAGAAUUACCCAGUUCCAGACGGUUGUGUAACCACCUCACGUGGUUGUGAGAGACUGACUGACCUUUAUCUAAAACGAAGACCUAUUUUACUUUAAUUUCUUUUUUUGGCACUAGGAGUUGCAGAGGAAAUGUCUUUUAUACAAACAUGAAGCCAGUUAUUUUCAUGGGAGGUGAUCAACUGCUACACCUCAGGAAGUCUGCAGUUGAGGUGCUAGCUUAUUCAGGUUGUUGUUUUGAUGUAGAUGUUCAGAAGUUUGAUUUAGCAGCAUUGCUAAUUCACUAAUGCUAAUUUUCCAUUACGUUUAAAAUCAACCGUAUACUUGGAGCCUUCCCCCAAUCAUGUAUCAGUAAAAUGAGAUUAUAUUUUUCCGUGUUAAUACCUUACUUUUCCUGGGUGCGCUAUAAAUCGAUAACCAUGUUGUGGGAUACAACUUGUACGUGCCCUGCCAAGAUGACAUCAACAUAGAAUUUUGAUUCCUUCUCCCUGAACGCAAUUUAAAAAAAAAAAAAAAAAGCACAGUAGUUAUGAAAGAUUACAGCAGCAAGGGCAUAUCUUCAGCAUUUCCAGAACUUUCUGUUCAUUGUGUCCAUUAGAUUAA
Long non-coding RNA from Scleropages formosus (Asian bonytongue), 1851 nucleotides. RefSeq lists it as uncharacterized. The transcript has 3 exons. Lineage: Eukaryota; Metazoa; Chordata; Actinopteri; Osteoglossiformes; Osteoglossidae. The record is from RefSeq and is a predicted model, not a curated record.